AUAAUUUUUCUCAUGGCUAUCAAGAGAGUACAGCACCACUGAGCCAUCAAGAAAGGGCAAAGGAAAAACACUGCUACAUGGUGAAGCGGCAGCAUGUUGUGUUGCUCUGCUUCAAUCGGUGGUGUGACAAGG
Small nucleolar RNA from Myotis lucifugus (little brown bat), 132 nucleotides. NCBI's taxonomy places the organism in Eukaryota, Metazoa, Chordata, Mammalia, Chiroptera, Vespertilionidae. The record is from Ensembl.